AUUCUCGUAGCUCUAUUGGGUAUUCUAAAUUAUUGUGUAAGGAAUGUAAUCUCUAACAUUUAUUAUUUCACUUCCGCAUUCAAUUUAUAAUUUAUUUCCUUUCAAGUUCCGGGUUAUUAUAGUUGAUAUCAAAGUCGCGUUUGUCGGAACUAUCCCUUACACAAAGACUUAAAAAUACCAAAUACGAACUAUUGUCCAACCCUUUCUAGUGAAAAAAUGAGUACAAAGACACGAUGAGAUGAGGUCCCUUACUGAACAGGAUUUUUCGAGACAGGUCGCUUCGAGAGGAUGUCGAUCAACUCGUCGAGAUUUUAGAGAGACUCAUCUCUACCCAGUAGGCCAGAGAAGAGAGGAGGGAACUGUCUGACUCUCCACUGCUUCCACAAUAUGAGCCACCCCUACAGCGAGAGGAUCUAACGCCACCUCGAUGCAACCUUGCUCCCCCACCGUAUCAUCCGACACCGUAACAAGGUCACCAAGUCCCUCCCCAGCAACAUCUGGCCCCUCUUCCACAAAACUUGAUUUCACCCAUGAUGGACUUGAUAGAUAUUGACAUGGGGGACCCUGA
This 568-nucleotide long non-coding RNA is filed under the name Carica papaya (papaya). RNAcentral describes it as "long non-coding RNA (CPAP_LNC003608)". The record is from RNAcentral. Lineage: Eukaryota; Viridiplantae; Streptophyta; Magnoliopsida; Brassicales; Caricaceae.